GACGAACGCUGGCGGUCUGCUUAACACAUGCAAGUCGAACGGGCUCUUUCGGGAGCUAGUGGCGGACGGGUGAGUAACGCGUGAGAAUCUGCCCUUUGGAGGGGGAUAACGGUUGGAAACGACCGCUAAUACCCCAUGUGCCGAGAGAUAAAAAGUAAUUCGCCAAGGGAUGGGCUCGCGUCGGAUUAGCUAGUUGGUGGGGUAAGAGCCCACCAAGGCGACGGUCCGUAGCUGGUCUGAGAGGAUGACCAGCCACACUGGGACUGAGACACGGCCCAGACUCCUACGGGAGGCAGCAGUGGGGAAUAUUCCGCAAUGGGCGCAAGCCUGACGGAGCAAGACCGCGUGAGGGAAGACGGUCUGUGGAUUGUAAACCUCUUUUGACAGGGAAGAAGUACUGACGGUACCUGUCGAAUCAGCCACGGCUAACUCCGUG
RNAcentral lists this ribosomal RNA (436 nucleotides) under uncultured bacterium. Its description in RNAcentral is "partial 16S ribosomal RNA". It matches the Rfam family "Bacterial small subunit ribosomal RNA", at positions 28 to 507 of the family's 1533-position model. The record is from RNAcentral.